ACGGGGGGUGCAAGCGUUGUUCGGAAUUAUUGGGCGUAAAGGGCGUGUAGGCGGCUGAAUAAGUCAGAUGUGAAAUCCCUGGGCUUAACCCAGGAAGUGCAUUUGAAACUAUUCAGCUUGAGUAGGGGAGAGGAAAGUGGAAUUCCUGGUGUAGAGGUGAAAUUCGUAGAGAUCAGGAGGAGCACCGGUGGCGAAGGCGACUUUCUGGCCCUAUACUGACGCUGAGACGCGUGAGCGUGUGUAGGAAGCUG
Molecule: ribosomal RNA, 251 nt
Filed under: uncultured prokaryote
Description: partial 16S rRNA
Rfam family: Bacterial small subunit ribosomal RNA
Source: RNAcentral